This 398-nucleotide ribosomal RNA is filed under the name uncultured bacterium. RNAcentral's name for it is "bacterial SSU rRNA". It matches the Rfam family "Bacterial small subunit ribosomal RNA", at positions 28 to 429 of the family's 1533-position model. The record is from RNAcentral.
GACGAACGCUGGCGGCGUGCUUAACACAUGCAAGUCGAGCGGUAAGGCCCUUUCGGGGGUACACGAGCGGCGAACGGGUGAGUAACACGUGGGUGACCUGCCCUCAGCUCUGGGAUAAGCCUGGGAAACUGGGUCUAAUACCGGAUAUGACUCCAUGACGCAUGUUGUGGGGUGGAAAGCCUUGUGCGGCUGAGGAUGGGCCCGCGGCCUAUCAGCUUGUUGGUGGGGNGAUGGCCUACCAAGGCGACGACGGGUAGCCGGCCUGAGAGGGCGACCGGCCACACUGGGACUGAGACACGGCCCAGACUCCUACGGGAGGCAGCAGUGGGGAAUCUUGCGCAAUGGGCGAAAGCCUGACGCAGCGACGCCGCGUGAGGGAUGACGGCCUCGGUUGUAAC